GGAGAGGUGCCAGAGUGGUCAAAUGGCUCCGACUCGAAAUCGGCUGGGGGCUUUGCCCCACGCGGGUUCGAAUCCCGCCCUCUCCG
RNAcentral lists this transfer RNA (86 nucleotides) under Candidatus Comchoanobacter bicostacola. RNAcentral describes it as "tRNA-Ser". It matches the Rfam family "tRNA". From Rfam's summary of the family: Transfer RNA (tRNA) molecules are approximately 80 nucleotides in length. Their secondary structure includes four short double-helical elements and three loops (D, anti-codon, and T loops). Lineage: Bacteria; Pseudomonadati; Pseudomonadota; Gammaproteobacteria; Candidatus Comchoanobacterales; Candidatus Comchoanobacteraceae. The record is from RNAcentral.